RNAcentral lists this unclassified non-coding RNA (280 nucleotides) under Hevea brasiliensis (rubber tree). Lineage: Eukaryota; Viridiplantae; Streptophyta; Magnoliopsida; Malpighiales; Euphorbiaceae. The record is from RNAcentral.
CUGCAUUUGUCUGGCAUAAAUUUGCCUCUGUAGUCACAUUCUUGAACACACUUUUCAUGUAUAGAACUUUUCCUGGGCCAGUAUCUUCCAAUUUCUUCUCCAUUCAACCAAGCUAGACCUUUCCCCAUAUGAAGCAUGUCCAGCCCAAUAGGUUCAUCUCCUGCUGGUGGAUCUAAAGCAACCUUAUACCAUGUUAAUGGCUGAUUCUUUGGUGGUUUUGAGGUUGCAACCCAAUUUACAUUAUCCACAGCAUCAGCCUUGUAUAUACCAAGCUUUUCUC